Molecule: ribosomal RNA, 758 nt
Filed under: uncultured cyanobacterium
Lineage: Bacteria; Bacillati; Cyanobacteriota
Description: bacterial SSU rRNA
Rfam family: Bacterial small subunit ribosomal RNA
Source: RNAcentral
GAUGAACGCUGGCGGUAUGCUUAACACAUGCAAGUCGAACGGAAUCUUUAGGGUUUAGUGGCGGACGGGUGAGUAACGCGUGAGAAUCUGGCUUCAGGUUCGGGACAACCACUGGAAACGGUGGCUAAUACCGAAUGCGCCUGUGGGUGAAAGGUUUACUGCCUGAAGAUGAGCUCGCGUCUGAUUAGCUAGUUGGUGGGGUAAGAGCCUACCAAGGCGACGAUCAGUAGCUGGUCUGAGAGGAUGAUCAGCCACACUGGGACUGAGACACGGCCCAGACUCCUACGGGAGGCAGCAGUGGGGAAUUUUCCGCAAUGGGCGAAAGCCUGACGGAGCAAUACCGCGUGAGGGAGGAAGGCUCUUGGGUUGUAAACCUCUUUUCUCAGGGAAGAACUAAAUGACGGUACCUGAGGAAUAAGCAUCGGCUAACUCCGUGCCAGCAGCCGCGGUAAUACGGAGGAUGCAAGCGUUAUCCGGAAUGAUUGGGCGUAAAGCGUCCGCAGGUGGCAGUGUAAGUCUGCUGUUAAAGAGUCUGGCUCAACCAGAUAAAGGCAGUGGAAACUACACAGCUAGAGUACGGUAGGGGCAGAGGGAAUUCCUGGUGUAGCGGUGAAAUGCGUAGAGAUCAGGAAGAACAUCGGUGGCGAAGGCGCUCUGCUAGACCGAAACUGACACUGAGGGACGAAAGCUAGGGGAGCGAAUGGGAUUAGAUACCCCAGUAGUCCUAGCCGUAAACGAUGGAUACUAGGCGUUGCUUG